Cololabis saira (Pacific saury) is the source of this 654-nucleotide long non-coding RNA. RefSeq lists it as uncharacterized. Lineage: Eukaryota; Metazoa; Chordata; Actinopteri; Beloniformes; Belonidae. The record is from RefSeq and is a predicted model, not a curated record. The transcript has 3 exons.
AAGUUAAGAUUGAAAAGACGGGAAAUGUGCUCACGUGCAGCUCAGUGGGGAUCUACCCUAAACCUGAGCUCACCUGGACCACCAACCCUCCGUCCAGCGAGACCCUGCAGAACACAACCACAGUCCAGCAGAAUGAAGAGCAGCUUUACAGCAUCAGCAACUCUCUGGUACUUCCAGACAACUACACCCACCUGCUGUACUCCUGCACCGUCACCUCUGGCACCAACAACAACACGGAAACCUGGAGUCAGCCAAACAACAAACCUGAUAUUGGAGGAAGUGUUGGAGGAACUGUUGGAGGAAUUGUCGGAGCAUUGUCGGGUGUGUCCAAUUUGUUCAUUAUCUUGUGCUUCAGGAAAUACAUCUUCUCCAGGAAGUGUAUCUGCAGAAAGGAAGGGCAACAACAGCUGCAAGAAAAGGUCAACAGCUGCAGGGAAGGGUAACGGGGAAGAAGAGGUGCUGCAUGCAGAUGGAAGGGCCACAUCUCUUUUAUAAUGCCCUGUGACCUUCCUCUGAGGGGACAAGCGUCCACAUGUCGGGGGCAGAUGACGACAAGGUCCCUUGCAUUGCCUGCCAGUUCGUACUGUUUCGUGUAGCAGGCUUCCUAAGUCACCUAUGAAAGAAAUGUAACCACACGUUCCCUCGCACUCAACU